AACGCACAUUGCGCCCGCUAGUAUUCUGGCGGGCAUGCCUGUCUGAGCGUCAUUUCAACCCUCGCCCCCGGCUUUUGCUGGGAGCGGUGUUGGGGAUCGGCCGCCCGUCACUGGGAGGCCGGCCCCGAAAUAGAGUGGCGACCACGCCGUGUGCUCCUCUGCGUAGUAGUAAAUCACCUCGCAGGCGGACAGCGGUGCGGCCUGCCGUAAAACCCCCAACUCUUUCUAUGGUUGACCUCAGAUCAGGUAGGAAUACCCGCUGAACUUAA
This 269-nucleotide unclassified non-coding RNA is filed under the name uncultured fungus. Its description in RNAcentral is "partial contains 5.8S ribosomal RNA, internal transcribed spacer 2, and large subunit ribosomal RNA". The stretch from base 1 to 52 matches the Rfam family "5.8S ribosomal RNA", at positions 103 to 154 of the family's 154-position model. Lineage: Eukaryota; Fungi. The record is from RNAcentral. RNAcentral also lists the same sequence under 1 other name.